AGUGAACGCUGGCGGUAGGCCUAACACAUGCAAGUCGAACGGCAGCACAGUAAGAGCUUGCUCUUACGGGUGGCGAGUGGCGGACGGGUGAGGAAUACAUCGGAAUCUACUUUUUCGUGGGGGAUAACGUAGGGAAACUUACGCUAAUACCGCAUACGACCUACGGGUGAAAGCAGGGGAUCUUCGGACCUUGCGCGAUUGAAUGAGCCGAUGUCGGAUUAGCUAGUUGGCGGGGUAAAGGCCCACCAAGGCGACGAUCCGUAGCCGGUUUGAGAGGAUGAUCAGCCACACUGGAACUGAGACACGGUCCAGACUCCUACGGGAGGCAGCAGUGGGGAAUAUUGGACAAUGGGCGCAAGCCUGAUCCAGCCAUACCGCGUGGGUGAAGAAGGCCUUCGGGUUGUAAAGCCCUUUUGUUGGGAAAGAAAAGCAGCAGGUUAAUACCCCGCUGUUCUGACGGUACCCAAAGAAUAAGCACCGGCUAACUUCGUG
Molecule: ribosomal RNA, 492 nt
Filed under: uncultured bacterium
Lineage: Bacteria
Description: partial 16S ribosomal RNA
Rfam family: Bacterial small subunit ribosomal RNA
Source: RNAcentral